UACGGAGGGUGCAAGCAUUGAUCGGAAUUACUGGGCGUAAAGCGUGCGCAGGCGGCUUCUCAAGUCAGGGGUGAAAGCCCAGAGCUCAACUCUGGAAUUGCCUUUGAGACUGAGUGGCUUGAGUACGAGAGAGGUGAGUGGAAUUCCCAGUGUAGAGGUGAAAUUCGUAGAUAUUCGCAAGAACACCAGUGGCGAAGGCGGCUCACUGGCCCGAUACUGACGCUGAGGCACGAAAGCGUGGGGAGCAAACAGG
RNAcentral lists this ribosomal RNA (253 nucleotides) under uncultured bacterium. RNAcentral describes it as "partial 16S ribosomal RNA". It matches the Rfam family "Bacterial small subunit ribosomal RNA", at positions 524 to 776 of the family's 1533-position model. The record is from RNAcentral.